AUUGAACGCUGGCGGCAUGCCUUACACAUGCAAGUCGAACGGUAACAGGUCUUCGGACGCUGACGAGUGGCGAACGGGUGAGUAAUACAUCGGAACGUGCCUAGUAGUGGGGGAUAACUACUCGAAAGAGUGGCUAAUACCGCCUGAGAUCUACGGAUGAAAGCAGGGGAUCGCAAGACCUUGUGCUACUAGAGCGGACGAUGGCAGAGUAGGUAGUGGGUGGGAUAAAAGCUUACCAAGCCGACGAUCUGUAGCUGGUCUGAGAGGACGAUCAGCCACACUGAGACUGAGACACGGCCCAGACUCCUACGGGAGGCAGCAGUGGGGAAUUUUGGACAAUGGGCGCAAGCCUGAUCCAGCAAUGCCGCGUGCAGGAUGAAGGCCUUCGGGUUGUAAACUGCUUUCGUACGGAACGAAAAGCCCUGGGUUAAUACCCUGGGGUCAUGACGGUACCGUAAGAAUAAGCACCGGCUAACUACGUGCCAGCAGCCGCCGUAA
RNAcentral lists this ribosomal RNA (498 nucleotides) under uncultured bacterium. RNAcentral's name for it is "partial 16S ribosomal RNA". It matches the Rfam family "Bacterial small subunit ribosomal RNA", at positions 30 to 523 of the family's 1533-position model. The record is from RNAcentral.